RNAcentral lists this ribosomal RNA (253 nucleotides) under uncultured bacterium. RNAcentral describes it as "partial 16S ribosomal RNA". It matches the Rfam family "Bacterial small subunit ribosomal RNA", at positions 524 to 776 of the family's 1533-position model. The record is from RNAcentral.
UACGUAGGUGGCAAGCGUCAUCCGGACUUAUUGGGCGUAAAGAGCGCGCAGGUGGUUGAUUAAGUCUGAUGUGAAAGCCCACGGCUUAACCGUGGAGGGUCAUUGUAAACUGGUCAGCUUGAGUGCAGAAGAGGGAAGUGGAAUUCCAUGUGUAGCGGUGAAAUGCGUAGAGAUAUGGAGGAACACCAGUGGCGAAGGCGGCUUCCUGGUCUGUAACUGACACUGAGGCGCGAGAGCGUGGGGAGCAAACAGG